RNAcentral lists this long non-coding RNA (1009 nucleotides) under Manihot esculenta (cassava). RNAcentral describes it as "long non-coding RNA (MESC_LNC007893)". The record is from RNAcentral. Lineage: Eukaryota; Viridiplantae; Streptophyta; Magnoliopsida; Malpighiales; Euphorbiaceae.
GUUACUUUAAAUUUAAUAAAUGCUACCUCAGUGAAAUUAACUUAGAAACCAAAUUUAGAAGUUUUUAGGGUGUUUUAUGUUACUUAAGUUCAAGAUUAAAGCGUUUCUAUUACAAAUUGAAGUUUAGAUACCUUAUUGUUACACACCCCAAAGUUGAAGUACCAUUUGUGUAAUUUGCCCCAAGUUUUGUUCACACAAAGUUGCUCCUCAAGAGAGUUUGAAACAUUCAUUUUAGGAUUCUACAUUUUAGAUAUCCAGUCAAAAUUAGUUGACAUCUAACAAAAGAUUUAAGGCUUUGCAAUUUUAAUACUUUCUCAUAUUUUAUCUUCUAGAAGAGGAAUCUAAUGCUCCUAUAUAUGAUAAUUUUUAUCAACAAUUCUUCUUAUCAAUAUGCAAUCAAGCUUGAACAUUCCAAAAUAAUAAACAGAUUAUAGUUAUUCAGUGAGAGAGAGAGAGACAAAAGCCAAUCAGGCCUAGCCUAGUUGGUCUACUCGCACACUUUAAAAGAGUUUGGAGAGUGGGGAGUCUUGGGUUCAAGUUCAAUUCCUCCCAUCCACCAAUAUAGUUGGAGUUUCCAAAGGGUUAUGAGAGAGAAAACACGUUACUUUACAUUUAAUAAAUGCUACCUCAGUGAAAUUAACUUAGAAACCAAAUUUAGAAGUUUUUAGGGUGUUUUGUGUUAUUUAAGUUCAAGAUUAAAGCGUUUCUGUUACAAAUUGAAGUUUAGAUACCUUAUUGUUACACACCCCAAAGCUGAAGUACCAUUUGUGUAAUUUGCCCCAAGUUUUGUUCACACAAAGUUGCUCCUCAAGAGAGUUUGAAACAUUCAUUUUAGGAUUCUACAUUUUAGAUAUCCAGAGUCAAACUUAGUUGACAUCUAACAAAAGAUUUAAGGCUUUGCAAUUUUAAUGCUUUCUCAUAUUUUAUCUUCUAGAAGAGGAAUCUAAUGCUCCUAUAUAUGAUCAUUUUUAUCAACAAUUCUUCUUAUCAAUACGCAAUCAAGCUUGAA